GACGAACGCUGGCGGCGUGCUUAACACAUGCAAGUCGAACGGAAAGGCCCUGCUUUUUUGGGGUGCUCGAGUGGCGAACGGGUGAGUAACACGUGAGUAACCUGCCCUUGACUUUGGGAUAACUUCAGGAAACUGGGGCUAAUACCGGAUAGGAGCUCCUGCUGCAUGGUGGGGGUUGGAAAGUUUCGGCGGUUGGGGGUGGACUCGCGGCUUAUCAGCUUGUUGGUGGGGUAGUGGCUUACCAAGGCUUUGACGGGUAGCCGGCAUGAGAGGGUGACCGGCCACAUUGGGACUGAGAUACGGCCCAGACUCCUACGGGAGGAAGCAGUGGGGAAUAUUGCACAAUGGGCGGAAGCCUGAUGCAGCAACGCCGCGUGCGGGAUGACGGCCUUCGGGUUGUAAACCGCUUUCGCCUGUGACGAAGCGUGAGUGACGGUAAUGGGUAAAGAAGCACCGGCUAACUACGUG
RNAcentral lists this ribosomal RNA (468 nucleotides) under uncultured bacterium. RNAcentral's name for it is "partial 16S ribosomal RNA". It matches the Rfam family "Bacterial small subunit ribosomal RNA", at positions 28 to 507 of the family's 1533-position model. The record is from RNAcentral.